AACGAACGCUGGCGGCGUGGAUAAGACAUGCAAGUCGAGCGAUGAUUACGGGGUAGCAAUAUUCCGUAGUUGGAGCGGCGCAAGGGUGAGUAAUACGUGGGUAAUCUGCCAUGAAGUCUGGAAUAACUUGUUGAAAGACGAGCUAAUGCCGGAUGUGAAAAGCGGGAGGCAUCUCCUGGUUUUCAAAGCUGGGGACCGAAAGGCCUGGCGCUUCAUGAUGAGCCCGCGGCCUAUCAGCUAGUUGGUGAGGUAACGGCCCACCAAGGCAAAGACGGGUAGCUGGUCUGAGAGGACGACCAGCCACACUGGAACUGAGACACGGUCCAGACACCUACGGGUGGCAGCAGUCGAGAAUUUUUCACAAUGGGCGAAAGCCUGAUGGAGCGACGCCGCGUGGGGGAUGAAGGGCUUCGGGCUCGUAAACCCCUGUCAUUUGUGAGCAAGUGUUAUAGUUUUAAGAGAUGAUGACAUUUGAUAGUAGACAAAAGGAGGAA
This 494-nucleotide ribosomal RNA is filed under the name uncultured bacterium. RNAcentral describes it as "bacterial SSU rRNA". It matches the Rfam family "Bacterial small subunit ribosomal RNA", at positions 29 to 489 of the family's 1533-position model. The record is from RNAcentral.